RNAcentral lists this transfer RNA (75 nucleotides) under Nesterenkonia alkaliphila. RNAcentral describes it as "tRNA-Pro". It matches the Rfam family "tRNA". From Rfam's summary of the family: Transfer RNA (tRNA) molecules are approximately 80 nucleotides in length. Their secondary structure includes four short double-helical elements and three loops (D, anti-codon, and T loops). The record is from RNAcentral. Lineage: Bacteria; Bacillati; Actinomycetota; Actinomycetes; Micrococcales; Micrococcaceae.
CGGGGUGUAGUUCAGUUUGGUAGAGCGCCUGCUUUGGGAGCAGGAGGUCGCAGGUUCAAAUCCUGUCGCCCCGAC